ANAGUUUGAUCCUGGCUCAGGACGAACGCUGGCGGCGUGCCUAACACAUGCAAGUCGAGCGGAGGUAGUUUGAUGGUAACUGAUAGCUACUUUAGCGGCGGACGGGUGAGUAACACGUGGGCAACCUGCCUUGAAGANGGGGAUAACGCCGAAAAUCGGUGCUAAUACCGCAUAACAUGCAUUAACCGCAUGGUUUGAUUUUUCCAAAAGGAGAAUCCCGCUUUUAAGAUUGGGGGCCCCCNCCGCUGAUUACUUAUUUNGUUAGGUUUAAAGCUUUACCAAGCAANAAUUCAUUACCAACUUAAAGGUUUAACCGCCNCCCUGAACUAAACGGCCCNANNCCCCUCCGGAGGCCCNUUNGGAAUUUUNCCUNGGGGAACCNACCCNCCCCCNUANAAA
RNAcentral lists this ribosomal RNA (399 nucleotides) under unidentified Clostridiaceae pDH-C. RNAcentral's name for it is "partial 16S ribosomal RNA". It matches the Rfam family "Bacterial small subunit ribosomal RNA", at positions 8 to 390 of the family's 1533-position model. Lineage: Bacteria; Bacillati; Bacillota; Clostridia; Eubacteriales. The record is from RNAcentral.